GUAGGUCACAAGCGUUGUCCGGAAUUACUGGGUGUAAAGGGAGCGCAGGCGGGAAGACAAGUUGGAAGUGAAAUCCAUGGGCUCAACCCAUGAACUGCUUUCAAAACUGUUUUUCUUGAGUAGUGCAGAGGUAGGCGGAAUUCCCGGUGUAGCGGUGGAAUGCGUAGAUAUCGGGAGGAACACCAGUGGCGAAGGCGGCCUACUGGGCACCAACUGACGCUGAGGCUCGAAAGUGUGGGUAGCAAACAGGAUUAGAUACCCUGGUAGUCCACGCCGUAAACGAUGAAUGCCAGCCGUUAGUGGGUUUACUCACUAGUGGCGCAGCUAACGCUUUAAGCAUUCCGCCUGGGGAGU
This 354-nucleotide ribosomal RNA is filed under the name uncultured bacterium. RNAcentral's name for it is "bacterial SSU rRNA". It matches the Rfam family "Bacterial small subunit ribosomal RNA", at positions 527 to 881 of the family's 1533-position model. The record is from RNAcentral.